This 301-nucleotide ribosomal RNA is filed under the name uncultured bacterium. RNAcentral describes it as "partial 16S ribosomal RNA". It matches the Rfam family "Bacterial small subunit ribosomal RNA", at positions 509 to 807 of the family's 1533-position model. The record is from RNAcentral.
CAGUAGCCGCGGGAAUACGAAGGGGGCUAGCGUUGUUCGGAAUUACUGGGCGUAAAGCGCACGUAGGCGGAUAUUUAAGUCAGGGGUGAAAUCCCAGAGCUCAACUCUGGAACUGCCUUUGAUACUGGGUAUCUUGAGUAUGGAAGAGGUGAGUGGAAUUCCGAGUGUAGAGGUGAAAUUCGUAGAUAUUCGGAGGAACACCAGUGGCGAAGGCGGCUCACUGGUCCAUUACUGACGCUGAGGUGCGAAAGCGUGGGGAGCAAACAGGAUUAGAUACCCGCGUAGUCCCUGUCUCUUAUAC